UGUAUAAAAGACAAACCGCAAAAAACAAACAAAAAAACAAAACUUAGAGUCAUCAGUUGAUGUAAGACAUUGUCCUUGUAGGGCUUUACGUUGGGGCUUUCAGCCUAUGCCCAAUGUCGGGAGGUCCCGGCCGCCGCUUCUACAAGUGUCUCUCUUGGAAACUCUGGGCAAGGUGCCUCCAUAUCUGGAUCCAGAUUUGAUGGUGUGCUGAGGGGUACGCUUUUGUUUGGUCUCUCGAUUUGCAGCGCUGGUGGCGGGAGGUCGCGGUGUGCUGCGCCAGGCACUGAGAGGUUGGGUUGGUGAGUGCUUUGCAGGUGUCGCUUGUAAGGGGGUCUUGCUGUUGUGUAGCUGCGAGUGGGAGCUUGCGUCUGGGAAACAUGGCUUCUGUACCCGCCUUGAGGGCCGCAGGGAUCUGCGCUGGGGUGUGGGAGCGCGAGCUCCGGCUCCCAGGAGACAAGGCCCUGUUUCCAUCCAUGCUUUGCUUCUGCUCCGAUUCCCAUUGGGAGCUGCUCUGGAGGUACGGGGGGGGUUCCCGCCUAGCUGGCGCCGGGUUGCCGGGCGGAUCCAUGCCGCCAUUUGUCUCAUCAUCAGCCUGUAGGACUGCCUCCGGGUUUUCAGCUUUGUCCAGAGGUUGUCGCAGAGCCGGUCGUAGAACUCCUGUGUGUGUUUGGGAGGCCUGAUGAGAGCACGUUGUGUUGUGGAUCUUGUCUGUGCCGCCAUCUUGGGUGGGCCUUGGCGAGUCCGCUUUGUCUUAAGUGUUGUCGCUUGUUCAUGCUGUGCAGCAGGGGCAUUCUUCCCCCGCAAGGACCGGGAUAUCCCCCGCCGGUCCAGAGGGGGGGGUAGCAGGGCUGCCGUGGGUGCUUGUCUGGGUGCGUGUCUCGUGUCGGAAGGUCGGCCGUCUCCUCCGGACCUCAGGCCCCGCUCCAGUUUAGGCCGCAUGGCCGGCGUUGAUUUUUCCGCCACGUAUCGGUGCCGGGCCAGUACCAUUUUGUGCCUUGCGUUCUGCUGAGUUGGUUCCCGAACACCGUAUGCCUCUGGCGUUAGUGGGUCACUCGGUACUUGCGUGAAUUUGCUCAUUAUUGCAGGAGCUCAUGAGAUGUGCAGCCGGCCAUCUUAGCUGCCAGGCCCCGCCCCCGGCAUGGUACCUUUUUGAUCUCCUAAAAUAUUUUUUAUUAUAUUCACCAUGUCCUAAAAUGUUGUAGUGAUACGACUAUUGACCUUGUACGUAAUACAAAUCUAUCAUGUUAUUAUUAUAGCAAAAUAAAAUGAUUUACCAAAAUCUGGCUAGAUAUUGUUUUAUUUUUUUAAUUAAUUUUUUUAUUGUGUCCUCUUUUGAAGUAAUUGCUAUACAAAUUCUACAACUACUGAUUGGCUUGAUUAGGAAUCUGAACACGACAAUUGAGGUAACAAUAACUGAUCUGGAGAAGUUUCUCAGCUUAGCUAUAAUCAAAGCUUGUCUGUUAUUGUCUAAAUAUUGUCUUUCAGGUUUCUUUCUUCUAAAAUUCAGAGUGUAUAGCAAUAACUUUAAAGCAGGACACGUUUUGGGGAGAAAACUAAUAAAACAACAGCCAGACUACUUAAUUUCUGUUUUUAUUGUGUUAUGUAAGGUUAUGAUAGAGAUGAAACAUUAAAUGAACAUUCCAAGCACCAUAAUAACUACCACAUGCUAAAGUGGUUUUGGUGCCAGGAAUGCCCUGGUGUUCCCCCAUUGUAAGUAGUCAAAAUUAUUUUAGAAUGGUUUGACUUCUUAGAUAGACGCCUCCACUACACCUGCAGGAGAGCUUCAGAACUUCAAUUAGCUCUCCUGAGCUAAUCCUUGCAUCUCAUUGGCUGAGAGCAUCAGAGAGCUUCCAGUUAAAGAGAAAGAACCAGUGGAGGCGGGUAACAGCGCCUGGUUGACUCCAGGUAAGAUGUCAAACAAGUCACACUGUUCUAAAAUGGUUUGGUUACUUAAAUUGAGGGUGGGGCUAAAGUACUGUCUAUCGUUAGGACAUUGGUUUGUUAUAUAGGGUUUUUUUUUGUAGUUUUGAAGAGGAAGAGCUUUGUUUAUUGUUGUAUAGAAUGGCCAGAUAAUUUCUUAUAUAUAGGCCAAAACCGGAAACGUACGCUAACUCUGACUUUUUUCGACCCUCUGAUUUUAUAUAGUUAUUUUUUGUUCAAAAUUUGUCAUACCUUUGUCAGUUCUCCAGCUGUUCUGAUUUAGUGAAUAAACCCCAGACUUUCUUUGUUGGACAUUUUGAAGUUGCAAAUAGGGCAAAAUAAAAACAAAUUUUGUAUGAUAAUAUGAACAAGAGUCACAAUAGAACUUUAACUAUGUACAUGUAUUAAGUAUAAAAAAAAAUUAAAUUAUUUAUAUGAAAUAUUCAUUUGUAAUAACAUUAAAAACUAAGACGGUUCCAUAAUUCUGAACUUGAAGUUAAUUUGAAAUAUCUACCAAGUGCAGAAUUAAUACAUAAUACAGGGGAAAUAAUUCAUAAAGGGAAAAUAGAUGUUUAGUUUUGUUCAAGUUAAUAGUGAGCAUUAGUUCAACUCAGCAAUGUUUAAAUUUAAAAUAAUAUUUUGGCAUACAGGGUUUUCAUUAGAAGCCUGCCCUUGUAUUCCUAUAUAAGAGAAAAAAAUAUGCAAAUGAAAGGAAAAGUAUAUAACCAAGGAAAAAUAUAUAACAAUAAUAGCAUAAUAGAUAAGACAUGGUGCACUUUUGUCUCUCUCAUGUGGAAUAAACAUUUGUAGAAUAAUUUUUAUUUGUUUAACUUUUUUUUUUUAAAUAGUACAUAAAGCUGCUGACAUAAAUCUGCUUUAUUUGGGAAUAGUAUGGUAAACCCUUAGAUAAAAGGAAAAAAAGUAGAGUGAAAAUUGUUAGAACGUUAAGAUACGAGUGGGUUGAAGUGACCGAAAAAUGUAAGGCCAGUGGAACGAACAGGAAAGCUACAUAGGUCACACAUGUUCCCAUCAAUAUGUGACAGCAAAAUACAAUUUGUGGUGAAGGAGCAAAGCAUUCUGGAUGAUGUAAUGGGAUUUGUUUUUGUAAUAGACUAGGUAUUUGAGGGGAAUUGGGACAAGUACCAUGUAAAAUGUGAUUACCUAACUUUACCGCCAGUGCAUUAAUUAGGCUUUGAGGGAGGCUAGAAUGAAUAAUCUAGCAAAGGGAUAUCGGAGUGAGCUAGCAAAAAAAUGAGAAAAGUACAUGUUUCCUUCUAUGGAAGCGUGAAUUAGUGGCUGCAACAUGGCCUAAUUUUUGUGGCGCUCGUGAGUAAUGAAAUAUCCGCUCUGCUUGACCUUGUCUCCUCUUUGAAGUUGGCAUGAAACUAAUGGCAUAUAAUAUUUUAGUGUAUUAGCAUGUAUAUUAUUUGUGUUAUUACUUGAAAGGUGCAUGAGUCCAUCAUAGCCAAAAGCAAGUUACACAAUUAAAAAUGAUAUAAUUAGUAUUUGUUAUAUAAACAUAAAGCUAACAAAGCUUGUGCUGUCUUCAUUAAUGACGUUUUACCAGUCGUUUUGUUUCCAAAUGCCACUAACAUGAUCAAUGUCCUCCUUUCAAAUGUUUAAAAUAGUUUUGUCCAAGCCGACCUGGUAAAUUAUAUUAGUAUAAACAUUAUGACUUUGCUACUGCAAGAAUGUUUAAGUGUUGAUGUAUAGAUGCGAUAUGUAGAUGAAAUUAUAUGUUUUUUUUCUCCCUGUUAUUAUAGUCACUAUUAAUCAGUGUCCUGUGGUUAUGUAACAAACUCAUUUUAUAUUUUUCAACCAUCUCCAGCAAAGGUGGGAUUUCAAGAAUUAUUUAAAAAAAUUACAUAUGGGUGCGUAGAAUAAAAUAAUACCAGAAAAAUGCCUUGGUCUUGAUAGUAUUGAUGACUUGUACAAAAUGUAGUUCACGUGUAGUAUUAAAUAUUAAAGGAAACUAGAAGCUCCAUAAAAACCAAAUCUUUCUGUAGCUGUUAUGGUUCAAGGAGAGUAAACAAGAUACCAAAGACUAGUGUAUGUCCGAAUCCUGCUAAAUUCACACAAAUAAUAGAGACAAAUAAUGUAAUAAUGUAAAGUGGAACAUUAUCAUUUUCAUAUCUCAAGCAGAGGUUUUGGCCAUUUUAUGUUAAGCCGCUUGAAACCUGAUUGACAAAGACCGAAAUAUAUGCACCCAUAAUCUUUUAUUUAACAUAGCCACUACAAUGAGCUGUAGUGGUUAUGGUGCUAGAAGAUUCAUUUAUUGUAACUUUUGUUGCCAAAUAAGUCAUUUAGAGAUGUAGCAUUUUUUGCAAUAGUGCUUUGAACAAAAUCAUCAGUGAAUUUUGGCAAAUCAUCAAAUAGAAUUUUUUGUUUUUUAAAGAGCAUGACUCAGACUACAUUUCAGCUAGAUAAUGAUAAAAACUAAAAGAGAAGCAAGCAAGCAAACUGGAAUUAUGUUAACAUGGCAUUUUUCUAUUUGGGACAGAAAUAAAUAAGCUAUUAUUACAUGUUGUUAUUGUUUUUAACAAGGCACAUGCUUUAUUAACAACAGAUUUAAAAAAAGUUGUGUGUAAUUGGCUUGUGUUUGCAAAAUAACAUAUCUUAAACUAUUCAAAUUCGCCAGAGGUGUAAUAUUAAUGAAAAUGCGGACUUCCUCACAGUGAGGGUGAGCGUUCAUGUAAAUAAAUGAUUUAAAUGUCGUCAUGUAAUCUUUAAUUAUUUUAGCUAUGUAAUAUGUGUAUAUAGUAUUUACUCUUAUACUACAUGUUCAAUUUAGUUGUAACUUUUAUUUUAUUUAAUAUGUAAGUUUACAUAACUGUUUUUUGUAAUGUUUUCACUAAUGAC
This 4779-nucleotide long non-coding RNA is filed under the name Pelobates cultripes (western spadefoot toad). Lineage: Eukaryota; Metazoa; Chordata; Amphibia; Anura; Pelobatidae. The record is from RNAcentral.